GGAGUUAGCCGGUGCUUCUUCUGUGAGUGAUGUCCUUCCUGCCGGCUAUUAACCCGCAGGCCUUCUUCCUCACUGAAAGUGCUUUACAACCCGAAGGCCUUCUUCACACACGCGGCAUGGCUGGAUCAGGGUUGCCCCCAUUGUCCAAUAUUCCCCACUGCUGCCUCCCGUAGGAGUCUGGGCCGUGUCUCAGUCCCAGUGUGGCUGAUCAUCCUCUCAGACCAGCUACGGAUCGUCGCCUUGGUGAGCCGUUACCUCACCAACCAGCUAAUCCGACAUAGGCUCAUCCGAUAGCGCGAGGCCCGAAGGUCCCCCGCUUUCCCCCGUAGGGCGUAUGCGGUAUUAGCCUGGGUUUCCCCAGGUUAUCCCCCACUACCGGGCAGAUUCCUAUGCAUUACUCACCCGUCCGCCGCUCGCCACCAGGGAGCAAGCUCCCCGUGCUGCCGCUCGACUUGCAUGUGUUAAGCCUGCCGCCAGCGUUCAAUCUGAGCCAGGAUCAAACUCUGA
RNAcentral lists this ribosomal RNA (507 nucleotides) under uncultured bacterium. RNAcentral describes it as "partial 16S ribosomal RNA". The record is from RNAcentral.